Mytilus californianus (California mussel) is the source of this 1040-nucleotide long non-coding RNA. RefSeq lists it as uncharacterized. The transcript has 5 exons. Lineage: Eukaryota; Metazoa; Mollusca; Bivalvia; Mytilida; Mytilidae. The record is from RefSeq and is a predicted model, not a curated record.
GCAAUCACUGAAAGGGAAAGUACAACUGACAUGAUUAUUUUUCCAUUAUAAUAUAUAAAUAAAAUAAAUGGAUACAAACAGGGAAGUGGAAGGUUUUCUAACACGUCGGAAGAUCUUUUAAACCAUUGUUGGAAACUGCAAUCGUGUAAAUAUAGAAAUAAGAAGAUGUUGUAUGAUUGCCAAUGAGACAACUCUACACCACAGUCAAUUUAUGAGGUCGACUUAACCAUAGCUGAGGUUAGGGUUUCCUUUAAACUGAUGGGGGAGCCGAGAUUAUCAGCCUCUUUCUUGACACUAUCCAUAGCUUCUCUGCUUUAUGUAAUUGGUUUUUCGACUCAUUCCUUCAUUAAGAUUGAGAAAAAGGAAGUCCACAUACACAGCGGGUUAUGGAAACGAUGUGUUUCAUAUGAUAAUAUAACAGUAUGUAUGGACAUAGAAAAUUAUGCGGAUAAAGAUUGGUUUAAAAUUUGUAGAGGUAUGAUAAUACUUGGAUUUAUUUCUAUCUUAUCAUCGACAGUUUGUGUUGCAUUGAGAUUGUUUAAGCUACCUGAAAAUAAAAUAUUACGAAUUUGUUCUAUCGUGGCUACUUUUUCGACUGUGGCGUUUAUUCUAACAGGACUGGUUCUAUAUGUAAAAAAUAAAGAUGACAUUACAGAUGGAGAAUUGUUCGAUUAUGGUUUCUCAUUUGCAUUAUGCAUACUUGGGAUGUGUUUUGCUGCUUUGGUAGGCAUCAUCCUGAUUUUUGACCUCGUAAUGACAAAAAAGAACAUUCAAAGUCGCGUUGGUGUUGAGAAAAAAUAAGAUAAGAACAGAAGACUAUUAGAAAAUAUUUAGACUUAGCAAGAGAAUUGUGAAAUUGACAGUGCUUCUUUAAUGCUUUAAUGCUUCUUUUUAGCGAAUACAGAUCUCACAUAAAAAACGUAUAAUUUAUACACUGGUAACUUCAAAUUUCUAUCUUUGUAUCUGUAUAGUUUUCGUUUGAGAAAAAACUAGCACCAAUGAAAGUAAUGAGAUAACUUAUAAAGAAUUUUUCAUAUUAA